AUUACCUUGGCAGAAUAAGUGCGUUGAAUUUAGAAUUCAACAAUGUGAUUAUGUAUUACAGGUAGUA
Molecule: transfer RNA, 67 nt
Filed under: Zichya baranovi
Lineage: Eukaryota; Metazoa; Arthropoda; Insecta; Orthoptera; Tettigoniidae
Description: tRNA-Leu
Source: RNAcentral